RNAcentral lists this ribosomal RNA (314 nucleotides) under Hydrozoa environmental sample. RNAcentral describes it as "bacterial SSU rRNA". It matches the Rfam family "Eukaryotic small subunit ribosomal RNA", at positions 1140 to 1476 of the family's 1831-position model. Lineage: Eukaryota; Metazoa; Cnidaria; Hydrozoa. The record is from RNAcentral.
AAACUUAAAGGAAUUGACGGAAAGGCACCACCAGGCGUGGAGCUUGCGGCUCAAUUUGACUCAACAAGGGAAAUCUCACCAGACCCGAACAUCCCUAACGAUUGACAGAUUGAAAGAUCUUUCUUAAUGAAGUGGAUGGUGGUGCAUGGCCGUUCUUAGUUGGUGGAGUGAUCUGUCUGGUUAAUUCCGAUAACGAACGAGACUCUCCCCUGCUAAAUAGUGACGCAAUUCUCGAAUUGUGACUCACUUCUUAGAGGGACUGUUGGUGUUUAACCAAAGUCAGGAAGGCAAUAACAGGUCUGUGAUGCCCUUAG